Long non-coding RNA from Apus apus (common swift), 398 nucleotides. RefSeq lists it as uncharacterized. NCBI's taxonomy places the organism in Eukaryota, Metazoa, Chordata, Aves, Apodiformes, Apodidae. The transcript is spliced from 3 exons. The record is from RefSeq and is a predicted model, not a curated record.
CCUCUCCCUGCAGGAACCAUGUUGCCUCUUCCCGCCCAGGUCCCGCCGUGGGAUCGCUCCCGAAACCCAAAGAGACGACGUUUGGGCAGGAGACCUGGCUCUUCACUGCAGUGACACCUGGGGGGGUUUAUGGCCCAAGAAGCUGAGGGACUGAACUGGGCUCCAUCUGGGGAUCUGAACAUGGAGCAGGAUUGAUGGCCAAGAUCAGACCCAACGAAGCCACUUCCAUCUUGCUCCUCAAACUCACAGCCACUAGCAACUAACACUGGAACGAAACUUAGAAAACACCUUUUGCUGAAGCUGAGAAACUUGCACCGUUUCUGUUUCUCCUUUCAAAGAACAGGAAGAACCUGAAGAAAUUCAUCAAACCAAAAGAAAUUUUGGGUAGAUAAAUUAAA